CUGCGGGGUAGCCGAACCCGAACGCGGUGACCGGCGCUGCGGCCGCCGCGGCCCGGCCGGUGGCGGCGUGGUCGGGGUGCGGGUCCCCGGUCCACGGG
Molecule: transfer RNA, 98 nt
Filed under: Pseudonocardia hydrocarbonoxydans
Lineage: Bacteria; Bacillati; Actinomycetota; Actinomycetes; Pseudonocardiales; Pseudonocardiaceae
Description: tRNA-Arg
Source: RNAcentral